UUCAAGGAGGACUUUUGAUUUUAAAGACAGCAAUAUGGUUGAAAUUAGGAUAGUUGAAGGCAUGGAAAGGAAAAGCCGAUAGUGAUUGUUGCUGAAUAUUAGAAGGUAAAAGAAACAGUCAUUUCUCAGCUCUGGAACACCGGUGAAGUUUAUGACCACAGACAGAGCAAUUCUGUGGGUGCGUGGCUCACUGCUCUAAUGGACUCAGACACUCACUGUGCCUCGGAGCAUUUGGCACAGAGGCCACCAGCACGUAGCUCUGCUCAUGCCUCACUGUAACGAUGCUGGAGGCAGUUAGGUGUGAUAGCCCAACACAAGAUGCAAAAUGCAGGCUGCGACAAAGGACAAAUAUAAAGUAGAAUUCAAAGUUGUGUGCCUUUCACUUUGUUUCCG
Long non-coding RNA from Gallus gallus (chicken), 393 nucleotides. NCBI's taxonomy places the organism in Eukaryota, Metazoa, Chordata, Aves, Galliformes, Phasianidae. The record is from Ensembl.